GGGCUCUCCGCUCUGCUCCGCUCCGGCCGCGCGCAGCCCAGCGGCACCACCUGGGAAAGGUAGAGCGCUGCGACCUGCCGAGGGUUGGGAAAAACAUUGUCAACAAUUAACAUAGAAAGUAAUAGGAAUUGCUCUUAGUACAUCAAGACUCCCUUCCACCCCCCCAACCAGCUCGGGAUUGAAUGAUCUACCUAAAGGAUCUUCAGGGCUGUGUUCGAAUUGCCAUGGAAACAAAAGCAGAACUCGGGAACCAGCAGUCAGCCACUGAAGUUGAAAGGAUCCUGGCUGUUUGACCUGUUUCUCCUUGUCUUUCCAUGGAAACAGAGGUUUCAGAGGGGAGGGAAAAGCUUGCAAAACGGCAAUGUCACAGAACUGACCACAUUCAUCACAAUAUGGAGUCUGGAGAGCGGUUAUCGUCAUCAUCAACUUCCUCUACUGCAGCUACUUCGUCUCCAGCAUCUUCUACGCCUUCUGUAGCUUCAGCAGUUUCAAAGGGUGGCCUCCCCACUGGAGCUGCAUCACAGAGUUCUGCCGUCAACGCAUGUGGUCUUGAUAUAGAAAUGAUCUUGUGACUCCUUAAAUAAACUUUGAUGAAGAACAGAUCUGGUGCCUAAA
This 615-nucleotide long non-coding RNA is filed under the name Apteryx owenii (little spotted kiwi). RNAcentral describes it as "lncRNA (ENSAOWG00000011925.1)". Lineage: Eukaryota; Metazoa; Chordata; Aves; Apterygiformes; Apterygidae. The record is from RNAcentral.